RNAcentral lists this long non-coding RNA (2516 nucleotides) under Portunus trituberculatus (swimming crab). RNAcentral describes it as "uncharacterized LOC123515915". The record is from RNAcentral. Lineage: Eukaryota; Metazoa; Arthropoda; Malacostraca; Decapoda; Portunidae.
GGUUAGAUCACAGUUCACACACAGAGUCAGUCACUUGCGAUGACGAGUCCACACAGAACAGCCGCAGUAGUGGCUGUAGUGUGUAGUCCUGUGUGUGUGUUUGGGGGUGGGGGGGGCCAAUAUUUAAACUUAAGUAUGAUAAGGGUGCAUUAAUCAACAAUUAAUGGGCAACUUCGACAAUCUAGGGUAAAACACUCUAAUCUAGGGUAAAAUCGACAAAAAUCUAGGGUAAGAUUUCAUCAACUCAUGGAAGCACUGUCAGUCAGCAGCAGAGCCAGUGCGGAUGAAGAUCUCGAGGAGAGUGAACGUGCGUCUCCCUCACUCACUAUUUUCCCUGUAAGGCAGGGGUACUCAACUGGCGGACCGCGGUCCGGAUCCGGACCUUCUGAGUGUUGCAGUUGGACCUCAGACCCCAGGAAGAGAAAAUUCUAGUUAAAUAGCAUGAAGGUCCUGGUGAAAGUAUCUUGCAAGUUUUUUUUUUGGUCGACUAUGACUAUAUAUAUUUAGAAUAGUUUUCCUAUGAUAUUACAUUUUCUGUUAUUGCUUUUGCAUUAACAGAAAAUGAGAAAAAUCAGCUGGCUUCUGUUGUUUACAUACAUGGCUGGCGAGGCAAGGGUAAACUUUGACGUGAGAUGUUCUGGACAAGUCUGAAUUUAUCUUAGGCUUCCUAUCAAUAGUUGCAUUUGUUCAGGAAUAAUUCAGGAGUACGUUGGUAGCAGGGGCGUAUAUUCAGGGUGUGCUAGCCUGCUUAAAAUAUGGGGUUGGGUGUGCUGCUCAACCAGCCAGCGCUCAUUGCUGGUUGAGCAGCACAACCAGCCAUGGCUGGAAGUUAUAAAAUACUUUUGGCUCUCAUUAUGUGGCACAUGUACGUCGAUUUUGCGUCGAGAGUUCACAGGCUGCAGGAGGAGCGCGUUUUGCUAUGGAGCCCGUAGACAGGUGAAAAAAAAAAUCAGAUGGGACAAAUUGAAUAAUUGGUAACAGAUUCAAUUCUUCUUACUGACGCACAUAAUGAUGACCAGUAAACAUUAAUUACUUCACCCCUUGGGGUGUAGUAUUGUUUUGUGUGUGUGUGUGUGUGUGUGUGUGUGUGUGUGUGUGUGUGUGUGUGUGUCUGUCUGUCUGUGUGUGUGUCUGUCUGUCUGUCUGCCUGUGUGUCCGAACUACUGUGAACGGAUCAAAACGAACCUUGGUAGACACAUUGGGUAUGACACGGCAAACACUCAGAAUACAUUUGACCUCGCCAAGGUCAAAGGUUGUUGUGAUGAACCAACUGGUAAAUUUGUAACACGUUUUUUUUUUCAUUUACAGGAGACAUGGCGUGUUCGAAGAGAUUGAGAUUGUUUUCUUUUUUAUAUUUCAUGUAAUAAAAAUUUCCGGACCUAUGCGUACAUUGGAGCUUGUCUAACUGGACCUUUGCUUAUAAUAGUUGAGUAGCCCUGCUGUAAGGCAUUGGUUCCCAACCUGGGGGUAAAUUACCCCCUGGGGGUAAUUUAGCAAUUUUUCGGGGGUAAUGGAGGGGUGACAGAAAAAUGUUAAGAAUUCUGAAAAUCAAGUAAGCAUUGGUAUUAGGAUUAAUGUUAACUUAGUCUUAGUAUUUUAAGUUGUAAAGUAAACCUAUUAUAAGUAAGUAACAAAGCUAAACCAAAUAACAAUAAAUAUAAAAAAACUAAUAUACAGUAUUAGAAAAGAAAAAAUAUAUAGCUAAGUGUGUGGUAACCGAAGAGUAUUUUCACAAGUAUGCUUCAGGACACAAGUCACUCAGUAACCCCGAUGACUCAUCGACGAGUCCAGUACGCGUCACUCACUGCCCGAGUCUGCCUCUAUUUCACACUGCCAGUUUCUCUGUGAGCAUCAGCCGAGGUGGACAUGAGUUGUUGGUAUCAUUCUCAACAACGUAUCUGUGCGAGAAGGGGUUCUCAACUGUGCUGGGGAUGAAAACAAAAAAGAGGACUCGCUUGAAUGUUGCAAACGAUGCCAGGCUGGCACUUUCAACCACGAAGCCAAGAAUUCCCUCAACUAGCUUCAAAUAUGCAACUCCAACCAUCUCACUGAUGCUCUUGACAUCUUUGCAAGAUGGAGAAUAGACGAGUUCUCUCAGACGAGGCAGUCCAGGAACUCCUGGAUGAAGUGACUCUGGACAUCGAGGGUGAUGUCACCGUCAUGGGUGCGGAGGAAGUCCCACAGACCUCCUCAUCCACGAGGUUGUAGAUGGUGGCUCACCCUCACAUGCUCCACCAUCCUCACCAGAGGAAGAUGAUGUCAUCAUUGAUGUUGACACAUCAACAAUGGAUUUUUCGGUGACUCCUCAAAAACCACACGUUUUAGAGGAGUACAUUACAGAUGUGGACCUGUCACCUGUUGCAGGCCCAUCAACAAUGCCUGAUCCUGGCCCCUCACAAUACGCAGAACGUCAUCUCUUCCAGUUGCAUACGGAGGCCUGCGUCCACAUACCCAUGGAAGGAAGAGGGACAUCGUUUUUUUUUCCCAAAAAGAAUUAUACUGUAUUAAAAAAAAAA